Molecule: ribosomal RNA, 1581 nt
Filed under: Campylobacter jejuni
Lineage: Bacteria; Pseudomonadati; Campylobacterota; Epsilonproteobacteria; Campylobacterales; Campylobacteraceae
Description: partial 23S ribosomal RNA
Rfam family: Bacterial large subunit ribosomal RNA
Source: RNAcentral
AUGCUCGUCAUCGUAGGGUUAGUCGGGUCCUAAGUCGAGUCCGAAAGGGGUAGACGAUGGCAAAUUGGUUAAUAUUCCAAUACCAACAUUAGUGUGCGAUGGAAGGACGCUUAGGGCUAAGGGGGCUAGCGGAUGGAAGUGCUAGUCUAAGGUCGUAGGAGGUUGUACAGGCAAAUCCGUAUAACAAUACUCCGAGAACUGAAAGGCUUUUUGAAGUCUUCGGAUGGAUAGAAGAACCCCUGAUGCCGUCGAGCCAAGAAAAGUUUCUAAGUUUAGCUAAUGUUGCCCGUACCGUAAACCGACACAGGUGGGUGGGAUGAGUAUUCUAAGGCGCGUGGAAGAACUCUCUUUAAGGAACUCUGCAAAAUAGCACCGUAUCUUCGGUAUAAGGUGUGGUUAGCUUUGUAUUAGGAUUUACUCCGAAAGCAAGGAAACUUACAACAAAGAGUCCCUCCCGACUGUUUACCAAAAACACAGCACUCUGCUAACUCGUAAGAGGAUGUAUAGGGUGUGACGCCUGCCCGGUGCUCGAAGGUUAAUUGAUGGGGUUAGCAUUAGCGAAGCUCUUGAUCGAAGCCCGAGUAAACGGCGGCCGUAACUAUAACGGUCCUAAGGUAGCGAAAUUCCUUGUCGGUUAAAUACCGACCUGCAUGAAUGGCGUAACGAGAUGGGAGCUGUCUCAAAGAGGGAUCCAGUGAAAUUGUAGUGGAGGUGAAAAUUCCUCCUACCCGCGGCAAGACGGAAAGACCCCGUGGACCUUUACUACAGCUUGACACUGCUACUUGGAUAAGAAUGUGCAGGAUAGGUGGGAGGCUUUGAGUAUAUGACGCCAGUUGUAUAUGAGCCAUUGUUGAGAUACCACUCUUUCUUAUUUGGGUAGCUAACCAGCUUGAGUUAUCCUCAAGUGGGACAAUGUCUGGUGGGUAGUUUGACUGGGGCGGUCGCCUCCCAAAUAAUAACGGAGGCUUACAAAGGUUGGCUCAGAACGGUUGGAAAUCGUUCGUAGAGUAUAAAGGUAUAAGCCAGCUUAACUGCAAGACAUACAAGUCAAGCAGAGACGAAAGUCGGUCUUAGUGAUCCGGUGGUUCUGUGUGGAAGGGCCAUCGCUCAAAGGAUAAAAGGUACCCCGGGGAUAACAGGCUGAUCUCCCCCAAGAGCUCACAUCGACGGGGAGGUUUGGCACCUCGAUGUCGGCUCAUCGCAUCCUGGGGCUGGAGCAGGUCCCAAGGGUAUGGCUGUUCGCCAUUUAAAGCGGUACGCGAGCUGGGUUCAGAACGUCGUGAGACAGUUCGGUCCCUAUCUGCCGUGGGCGUAAGAAGAUUGAAGAGAUUUGACCCUAGUACGAGAGGACCGGGUUGAACAAACCACUGGUGUAGCUGUUGUUCUGCCAAGAGCAUCGCAGCGUAGCUAAGUUUGGAAAGGAUAAACGCUGAAAGCAUCUAAGCGUGAAGCCAACUCUAAGAUGAAUCUUCUCUAAGCUCUCUAGAAGACUACUAGUUUGAUAGGCUGGGUGUGUAAUGGAUGAAAGUCCUUUAGCUGACCAGUACUAAUAGAGCGUUUGGCUUAUCUUUAAUAAAGCAU